Nematostella vectensis (starlet sea anemone) is the source of this 2190-nucleotide long non-coding RNA. RefSeq lists it as uncharacterized. The transcript has 2 exons. The record is from RefSeq and is a predicted model, not a curated record. Lineage: Eukaryota; Metazoa; Cnidaria; Anthozoa; Actiniaria; Edwardsiidae.
GCUGUAACAUGCCAUUGUAACUCAUUUAUAACCUGAAGCUGAAGAAGGCAGGUAUUGGCCAGCCGAAAUAUCGUUCUAAAAAACAUAAAUCUGCGUUGUUGUCGACUUUUUCUUUUAAAGGUUUUACCUUUUGCGUGGGAGUCCCUAGGGUAAGUGUGCCGUUGUUGCUGGUCGCCGGUGGGACGGAGUUUCUUUUUCAUUACGGACUUGCUCCAGGUGACUGAAGUAGUUUGAAAAAUCGGUAGCUGGAAAAUCGGCGACUACCGUGAGAAUAGUGACUUUAAUUGGGCUGCUUAGCUACUUUUUAGCAAGAGAAACAAAUAUCACUCUGUCCAACCACUGAGCUGUCAGUUAACUCAAUGUAAACUGUUGAUCGCCGUUAGAACAGUAACCCUCUAUGGGCUACUUCCCUUCUGCACAAGCACAAUCGUAGAUUGCCGUGAGAACAUUAACUCGUUAUUGGCUACUUUGCUUGAUAUAACAAGAACAACAACUGUGCAAUGCCAACAAGACUGCCUGGAAAAGGGUUACAAAAUCAGUUGGAGCUUGCGACAGAUUGAAUGAACAUGUCUAUGAUUCCGAUACAGACGACGAUCUACUCCCCGUGUUUGAGGGGUAAAAUAAUACUUUCGCUAAACGAAAGAUAUAAUGCUGAUUGACAUUGUUUUAAUGCGAGGGAUGUUUUAGCCUGUGAGCUAGUCUGUACUUUUGCGCAAAGUCCGUAAUGAAAAAUAAAUCUCCGUCGCAUAUCCCCCCCUCUCCCCAUAUACACACACAAACAUCGGAACACACAUAAACUAAUAUAAGGAAAGCAGAGGUGCGCGAUAAAUAAGUCGAGUCUACGAAACGGGAAGUUGAGUUGAAAUAGGGACUCCCAAAAAUAUGCCCAGGGGGGAGGGGGGAUGCAGGGUGUGUGCCCACAGCGGCCGAGGGUCCACUUUCGGUUCCCAAUUGACGUGCUAUUUGUAGACAAAACUAUAAAGCAUAAGCUAGAUAACCCUGGUACGUAGCCAAAUCCGACAAUAAAAGUCCCGUGAAGAUACUGCAAAGGCAUAAAAAAAUCCCUCUUUGUUCUUUCGGGGGUAGUCAGAUUUCUGUUAGAGAACUCAUUUCACUCGUCGUCGCUUUACUCGUCCCCUCUCAGAACAGCCGAAUUCCGAGCUACGGACAAGCAACCAUUGCCUGGGCUACCUGUGAUUACAUUUGCGUUUCAAGAGUCACCUAAGCGCGCGCAAGCCGACUAGUUGAACUAUUCUUUAUAUCGGGUUUCCUUUGCAAAUUCAUGCAUUCUCAUCUGGUAGACCGCCGUCAUCUGAAACCAGACUCGUGUUCAAGUACUUGACCUUUCAUUGAAAUUAAUCUUACAAAUCGGCUUUUCUCCCAGAAACCUCUUGGCAGAAGUAACUUCCAAGGAUGAACCAAGACAAUUAUACAGCAUCUGAGAUUAGUAUACAGUAAGGGUAGAGUUUAUUAUCUGUGGUUUGUCUCCUGUACAAACAGGUAUGUGUAUCUAAUAAAGACGGCUGUCAAGAAAAUCGCGUGUUAUUUGAGCUCGACAUGGGGUUGCGUUCGGCUUCAUUAUAAUUCGGGGAUUUGAUUCCCCCAAUUUUUUAUUUGCUGAAUCGAAAGAAAUAACACCAAUGUUUGCUUAAAGUGCAAAAUCUCUGCGAAAAUCCAUGUACCAUCGGUUUUAUAAGCCCCAAAUUUAAGCUAUUAUUCAAGUCGACAUUUUUUAUUGACAUGUUUAGACAGCAAUAAAAUAUACUUUUUUUUGCCGGAAAAAGUAAAGAAACCACUCGAUUUAUACCUUAUCAACUCCUUUCUAAGGAUCUGUAUCGCUAUUUUUAAUUCCGCGUAUAUUUAAAGAAUAUUUUGCGAUUUUGUACGAAAGGUGAAAAUCGCCCCCAAAUCGGCGAUUUUAUAGGCAAAAUCGUAAAUUCGGAAUUUCUCGAAAAAUAUUUAUUGUAUGUAACUCAAACUUUUUAAACAUGAUAAGAGAACCAGGGGCUAACUUCAAACCAAUUUUGAGCGAUUUUGAAAUUUCUUAUUUGGAACUCCUCAGUUGAAUCUAAGGGACUGGUGCACUUAAUUUUCAUGACCGUCUAAAAACAAUACAAUAAAAUGAACUAGUAUUCCUAAACAAUAGUAUGUGAUCGGCAUGUUGAUAAAUAUACUUACUAAGACAAUUUA